RNAcentral lists this transfer RNA (65 nucleotides) under Coptotermes kalshoveni. Its description in RNAcentral is "tRNA-Ala". Lineage: Eukaryota; Metazoa; Arthropoda; Insecta; Blattodea; Rhinotermitidae. The record is from RNAcentral.
GGGACUAUAGUUAACAAUAACACUUGAGUUGCAUUCAAAAAGUGCUGCACACGCAGCUAGCCUCA